This is a long non-coding RNA of Globicephala melas (long-finned pilot whale), 1049 nucleotides long. RefSeq lists it as uncharacterized. NCBI's taxonomy places the organism in Eukaryota, Metazoa, Chordata, Mammalia, Artiodactyla, Delphinidae. The record is from RefSeq and is a predicted model, not a curated record.
CCGCCCCGUACCGUGCGACCUGCCGGGCUUGGAGGGGGCGAGGACGGGAACGGCGGGCGUGGGGAACCGUGAAAUCGCCCUGGAGGUGACUCCGAGAGCCCAGAGGGCCCAGGCUCGGGGAACGAGCUCAGGCUGAGAAGGACAAGCCGCCGCCGAACGAAUCCACUCACCCACCCCCAGCGGGACGCUCACAGACAAGGAGACGAUGGUGAAACUACUAAACCUGAGCUCCUGAGCACUAACCAGCUUGUGGGGAGACAGCGUCCGACCACCGUGUGGCUCACCCCCUUUGUUGUACAGAUGAGGAGACCGAAGAAACGAGGGUCAUGGACUCAUAAUAAUUGGUGGUGUUAGAAUUCGAACAGUAAUAACCUGCCAGGCAUUCCUCCUGCUACACCACGCUACCCUGUGUGGAGACUCAUUCAUUUGUUCACCUCAUAACGGUGUACUAACACUGUCACACUGCGCUCACUCUGGAACCGGCAACUGCACUAAGCAGUUUAGAGAUACUGACUCAUUUGAUCCUCACCACAACGCUUUUCUCCAAUUUCUAUUUGAGGACACAGGCACAGAGAAGUUAUGACUUGCCGGGCACCAAAUACCUAUUGGAACAGACCCUGUUCCAAAGGAGAGAGAUACAGCCGUGAACAAAACACAGCCCUGCCCCAGAGAGCUUACAUGCUAGACAUGGGAAGUUCCUGUAGAUCAUAAAGGCCAGGGGGCUGGAAAAAUAAAGCAGGGCAGGGGGACAGAGUAGAUGCCCUUGGAGGUCUGUAUGAAAAGAAAGGGCAAGUUAUACUUGCUAAUAAUUUAAAUAAACUUUGCAGCCCAACUCGCCUAAAGAUCUUCAUGAUGCACACUGAAUACAUACAGUGAGUGCAAACUCUUAUUUUUUAUUGUCCUGUGGCUACAUCAGAACCCUUGAGCCUAAGGUACCGAGAUCAGGAAGAUGGUUUUCCGAAUGCCAGGCGUUCAGAGCUGGCAGACUGUGGACACCGCAGAAGCCCCUUGUCCCUUUCAUCGUUAACCUAAUAAAUAUUAAUAUCCGG